This 68-nucleotide transfer RNA is filed under the name Marmota monax (woodchuck). RNAcentral describes it as "tRNA.Ala". Lineage: Eukaryota; Metazoa; Chordata; Mammalia; Rodentia; Sciuridae. The record is from RNAcentral.
GGAUUGUGACUCAGUGGUAGAAUGUUCGCCUAGCAUGCAUGAGACCCUGGGUUCGAACCUCAGCACCA